UACAGAGGUGGCGAGCGUUGUUCGGAAUUACUGGGCGUAAAGGGCGCGUAGGCGGCUUGGUCAGUCCCGUGUGAAAUCCCUCGGCUCAACCUUGGAACUGCCUUUGAUACUGGGGAUCUUGAGUCCGGGAGAGGUGAGUGGAACUGCGAGUGUAGAGGUGAAAUUCGUAGAUAUUCGCAAGAACACCAGUGGCGAAGGCGGCUCACUGGCCCGGUACUGACGCUGAGGUGCGAAAGCGUGGGGAGCAAACAGG
Molecule: ribosomal RNA, 253 nt
Filed under: uncultured bacterium
Lineage: Bacteria
Description: partial 16S ribosomal RNA
Rfam family: Bacterial small subunit ribosomal RNA
Source: RNAcentral